GUCGGCGUCGCUUAGUGGUUAGAGCAUCUCGUUGUGGUUAUCUCUCCGCUACAUGGAUCCGAGGAGACGGGUGUUCGAUUCACCCCGCUGACA
Roridomyces roridus is the source of this 93-nucleotide non-coding RNA. NCBI's taxonomy places the organism in Eukaryota, Fungi, Basidiomycota, Agaricomycetes, Agaricales, Mycenaceae. The record is from the annotation of a GenBank genome assembly.